UACGGAGGGUGCAAGCGUUGUCCGGAAUCACUGGGCGUAAAGGGCGCGUAGGCGGCUCAUGAAGGCUGUGGUGAAAGUCCGGGGCUCAACCUCGGAUCGGCCGUGGCGACUCGUGGGCUGGAGCACUGUAGAGGCUCAUGGAAUUCCGGGUGUAGCGGUGGAAUGCGUAGAGAUCCGGAAGAACACCGGUGGCGAAGGCGGUGAGCUGGGCAGUUGCUGACACUGAGGCGCGACAGCGUGGGGAGCAAACAGG
RNAcentral lists this ribosomal RNA (253 nucleotides) under uncultured bacterium. RNAcentral describes it as "partial 16S ribosomal RNA". It matches the Rfam family "Bacterial small subunit ribosomal RNA", at positions 524 to 776 of the family's 1533-position model. The record is from RNAcentral.